This 253-nucleotide ribosomal RNA is filed under the name uncultured bacterium. RNAcentral describes it as "partial 16S ribosomal RNA". It matches the Rfam family "Bacterial small subunit ribosomal RNA", at positions 524 to 776 of the family's 1533-position model. The record is from RNAcentral.
UACGUAGGGGGCAAGCGUUGUCCGGAAUCAUUGGGCGUAAAGAGCGUGUAGGCGGCCCGGUAAGUCCGCUGUGAAAGUCCAGGGCUCAACCCUGGGAUGCCGGUGGAUACUGUCGGGCUCGAGUCCGGAAGAGGAGUGUGGAAUUCCUGGUGUAGCGGUGAAAUGCGCAGAUAUCAGGAGGAACACCGAUGGCGAAGGCAGAUCUCUGGGCCGUAACUGACGCUGAGGAGCGAAAGCAUGGGGAGCGAACAGG